RNAcentral lists this ribosomal RNA (429 nucleotides) under Bacillota bacterium. RNAcentral describes it as "Firmicutes bacterium partial 16S ribosomal RNA". It matches the Rfam family "Bacterial small subunit ribosomal RNA", at positions 355 to 776 of the family's 1533-position model. Lineage: Bacteria; Bacillati; Bacillota. The record is from RNAcentral.
UGGGGAAUUUUGGACAAUGGGCGAAAGCCUGAUCCAGCAAUGCCGCGUGUGUGAAGAAGGCCUUCGGGUUGUAACGCACUUUUGUCCGGAAAGAAAUGGCUCUGGUUAAUACCUGGGGUCGAUGACGGUACCGGAAGAAUAAGGACCGGCUAACUACGUGCCAGCAGCCGCGGUAAUACGUAGGGUCCAAGCGUUAAUCGGAAUUACUGGGCGUAAAGCGUGCGCAGGCGGUUGUGCAAGACCGAUGUGAAAUCCCCGAGCUUAACUUGGGAAUUGCAUUGGUGACUGCACGGCUAGAGUGUGUCAGAGGGGGGUAGAAUUCCACGUGUAGCAGUGAAAUGCGUAGAGAUGUGGAGGAAUACCGAUGGCGAAGGCAGCCCCCUGGGAUAACACUGACGCUCAUGCACGAAAGCGUGGGGAGCAAACAGG